UGGGGAAUUUUGGACAAUGGGCGCAAGCCUGAUCCAGCCAUGCCGCGUGCGGGAAGAAGGCCUUCGGGUUGUAAACCGCUUUUGUCAGGGAAGAAACGCUCUGGGCUAAUACCCUGGGGUAAUGACGGUACCUGAAGAAUAAGCACCGGCUAACUACGUGCCAGCAGCCGCGGUAAUACGUAGGGUGCAAGCGUUAAUCGGAAUUACUGGGCGUAAAGCGUGCGCAGGCGGUUAUGCAAGACAGAUGUGAAAUCCCCGGGCUCAACCUGGGAACUGCAUUUGUGACUGUAUAGCUAGAGUACGGUAGAGGGGAUGGAAUUCCGCGUGUAGCAGUGAAAUGCGUAGAUAUGCGGAGGAACACCGAUGGCGAAGGCAAUCCCCUGGACCUGUACUGACGCUCAUGCACGAAAGCGUGGGGAGCAAACAGGAUUAGAUACCCCCGUAGUCCCUGAGCGGGCUGGCAAGGCGCAU
Molecule: ribosomal RNA, 471 nt
Filed under: uncultured bacterium
Lineage: Bacteria
Description: bacterial SSU rRNA
Rfam family: Bacterial small subunit ribosomal RNA
Source: RNAcentral